This 493-nucleotide ribosomal RNA is filed under the name uncultured bacterium. RNAcentral describes it as "partial 16S ribosomal RNA". It matches the Rfam family "Bacterial small subunit ribosomal RNA", at positions 28 to 507 of the family's 1533-position model. The record is from RNAcentral.
GACGAACGCUGGCGGCGCGCUUAACACAUGCAAGUCGGACGGAAAGGCCUGCUUUCCCUUGUGGAUUGCGGGUACUCGAGUGGCGAACGGGUGAGUAACACGUGAGUGAUCUGCCCCCAACUUGGGUAUAAGCCUGGGAAACUGGGUCUAAUUCCCGAUAGGACUGCAGGGUGGUGCCUGUGGUGGAAAACGAUUUUCUAGUGGUUGGGGAUGAGCUCGCGGCCUAUCAGCUUGUUGGUGGGGUAAUGGCCUACCAAGGCGGCGACGGGUAGCCGGCCUGGAGGGGUGACCGGCCCAUUGGGAACGAGGAACGGCCCCGGACGCCACCGGGGGGAGGAGGGGGGGAAAAUGGACCAUGGGGGGGAGGCUGAAGGAGGGGCGCCGGGGGGGGGAUGAACGGCUUCGGGUUGUAAACUCCUUUCGACCGCGAGGAAGCCACCUGGUUGGAAGGGUGGUGACGGUAGUGGUAGAAGAAGCACCGGCUAACUACGUG